AUAUGCUGAGAUCUGAUAGCAAGCUGUACUUGUACAGCGAAGUGGUUGAUGCCAUGCUUCCAGGAAAAGUCUCUAAGCUUCAGUUACACAGGAAUCGUACCCGAAACCGACACAGGUGGUCAGGUCGAGUAGACCAAGGCGCUUGAGAGAACUCUGCUGAAGGAACUAGGCAAAAUGGUACCGUAACUUCGGGAGAAGGUACGCUGUUGUUGGUGAUGGAACUCGCUUCCUGAGCUGACGACAGCCGCAGAAACCAGGCCGCUGCAACUGUUUAUUAAAAACAUAGCACUCUGCAAACACGAAAGUGGACGUAUAGGGUGUGAUGCCUGCCCGGUGCUGGAAGGUUAAUUGAUGGGGUUAGCGUAAGCGAAGCUCUUGAUCGAAGCCCCAGUAAACGGCGGCCGUAACUAUAACGGUCCUAAGGUAGCGAAAUUCCUUGUCGGGUAAGUUCCGACCUGCACGAAUGGCAUAAUGAUGGCGGCGCUGUCUCCAGCAGAGGCUCAGUGAAAUCGAAAUCGCUGUGAAGAUGCAGUGUACCCGCGGCUAGACGGAAAGACCCCGUGAACCUUUACUGCAGCUUGACACUGAACUUUGACCUUACUUGUGUAGGAUAGGUGGGAGGCUUUGAAGCUGGAACGCUAGUUCCAGUGGAGCCGUCCUUGAAAUACCACCCUGGUAAUGUUGAGGUUCUAACUCUGUCCCGUGAUCCGGGACGAGGACCUUGUCUGGUGGGUAGUUUGACUGGGGCGGUCUCCUCCUAAAGAGUAACGGAGGAGUACGAAGGUGCGCUCAGCGUGGUCGGAAAUCACGCGUAGAGUAUAAAGGCAAAAGCGUGCUUAACUGCGAGACCCACAAGUCGAGCAGGUACGAAAGUAGGUCUUAGUGAUCCGGUGGUUCUGUAUGGAAGGGCCAUCGCUCAACGGAUAAAAGGUACUCUGGGGAUAACAGGCUGAUACCGCCCAAGAGUUCAUAUCGACGGCGGUGUUUGGCACCUCGAUGUCGGCUCAUCUCAUCCUGGGGCUGAAGCAGGUCCCAAGGGUAUGGCUGUUCGCCAUUUAAAGAGGUACGCGAGCUGGGUUUAGAACGUCGUGAGACAGUUCGGUCCCUAUCUACCGUGGGCGCUGGAAAUUUGAGAGGAUCUGCUCCUAGUACGAGAGGACCAGAGUGGACGAACCUCUGGUGUACCGGUUGUGACGCCAGUCGCAUCGCCGGGUAGUUAUGUUCGGAAGGGAUAACCGCUGAAAGCAUCUAAGCGGGAAGCCUACCUCAAGAUAAGAUUUCCCUAGGACUUUAUGUCCUCUAAAGAGCCGUUCGAGACUAGGACGUUGAUAGGUUGGAU
Molecule: ribosomal RNA, 1339 nt
Filed under: metagenome
Description: bacterial LSU rRNA
Rfam family: Bacterial large subunit ribosomal RNA
Source: RNAcentral